CCAAAGUCGAGUUAAAGAUUAUAAAAAGGAACUUGUGGAAAGGCAACCCAACUUUUUAAUUUUUAAUCUUUUUAUUUAAUUUUAUGCAUUUUUCUUAUUUUUAUUUGAUUAGCUAUCAUUGUUUUGGUAGUUAAUUUUUGAAAUCCCACAUAUCAUGGUUCCUCACAAGUUUGGGAGUAAAUUGUUUUACAAGACAGACACUAGCCCAAGUUCAUCAAGAGCAUCACAAAUCCAAGUCAAGCAUUGGUACCCCUUCACCGAAUGUCUAAUUGGGAAAGUUUCGUUAUCCCUCUUCUCUUUUAUCUUGUUUUUUACAUAUUAAGGACAAUGUGUGAUUUAAGUUCGAGGGUGAUUGUGCUUAAAUUGGUGGUGUUGUAAUGAUAUGUUAGAUAGCCUUGCCAGCUUAGGAUGGUUUGAUGUUUGAAAUUCUUAUUGAUUCAUAAGCUAUGCAUGACCAAAUGUGCUAUUUGUGCCUAAUUUUUUCAAUUGCUUAUCCUUUUUAAGAUCUUGAAUUAUUUUGAGCAUAAUAGUCAUGACUAAUUGUUAUCUAGAUAUGAAAACUUUUGAUUGAUGGAGAGACUUUGAAUUGGUAAGAACUAGGCUGUGAGUUGCUUGAAAUUUUAUAUCAACAUAUACUUUCUUUUCUUUCACUUUACUAUAUUGUGAGAUAAGUUUGGGGUGAUCGAGCCAGUGAAGGAUAUUAUCUAGAAGAGUGUAAUUCCGGUGCCUGUUGAAAAUAUUUGUGUGGAGUAUCUUUUCCCAUUUAUAAGCUAGGUAUUAAUCAUAUGCUAGGUAUCUAAGCCUCAUUUUUGUUGCUCUUUAAACAAAUUGAAAAAAAAAACAAAAAAAAAAAGAGUUAUUGCCCUUGUUGAAUCUUGGGCCUCACUUCGUAACCUUUUUUACUCGAGUUAUUAAGUCCGUAAGGGUAUCUUGAAACUCGAUAUCCUUUGGCCUAAACAAUUGGGAAGUUAUCGACCUAAAACUCGUUACAAGAGUCAAGAAGAAAGUUUAAGGAAGUGAGGCAAAACAUAGGAUUUGGCUAAAAUAAAUUAAUUAUUAUUGUGCAAUUGUAUUUAAUAUUUGUGCUUAGAUAACUAGUGGGUUUUUUAAUUACUUAGCAUAAGUUUGAAUGUGGAAACAUUCAUUAGCGGAGAAUCAUCAUAUGACUAGAUAUUGAGAUUGCCAGUUGACCCAACCAAACUAGAGCAACCUUAGAUUUACACCUCAAGAAGCAAAAGAAAUAUCUAUUUUGGUAUGAAUCUCACGAGUGAAAAAGGAAAUAUUUGAUCACAAAGGGUCGGGUUGAAGCCAAUUUGAAGAUUUUUCCUUCUUGACAACUUUUUCCUAAUAUAGAUAAUAACUGAAAGUGACUUUGCACACACCGCACACACACUCCCCAAUCGAACAUUGGAUAAGCUUAAAUUAUUUUUGUUGGCAUUAUUUGGGGCAUAUUUGUGAAUUGAUUAUACAAUUUUACACUCAUUGAUUUUUAUGCAAACUAUUUAAUAUUGUUAAUCUUUAUCAUGCGUUACUUGAUUGUGUAGUAGAUAACCUUGCUCGGGAGUUUAAGUUUGGAGGUAUUUAAUAAUUGUGUUUUUGCACACUCGUUUAAUGUUUAAAUAAGCUUAAAUAUUGAUUAAAUGUGCGAUUUUCCAUUCACAAUUAUGUACUUAUUGUUUUUGUAGGUAAAAAUCACCCAAUGUAGUAGAACAAAGCAAAAGGAAGUGAAAGGGACUAAAAGCAUACAAAAUUGUGAAUUUGGGAACAAAAUGCAAAGUACCAAAAGUACAAGGACCUGGGUUGCAAUUAUUGGAGGCGUAAUUGAUUUAAAGGUCAAAAUUCGAGGAUCAAAUUGUAAAGUUCAAAGUUGAGGGACUUCACAUGCAAUUAUCUAAGGGAAUGGAGUUACAGAGAUCUAAAAAUGUAAAGUGGCGUCGCGGCGUCGCUGCUGUGGCGUUGCGUGCCACUUACAGGGUGCCGCGACACCAUAGCCAUGGUUGGGGUCCGUUUACCUACCCUAUUUUUGUUAGAAACUAUUUUGCAAUUAAUCAAACAUGAUUUUUGAGCCAUUUAAAAGGCAAAUUGAAUCAUUUUUGCCUCAUUAUUUAUCUUGGAAGAAAAACCCUAGGCUUCUCUCUCUCUCUCUCUCUCUCUCUCUCUCUCCCUUUUCAUUUUUCUUUUUUUUUUUUUUCUUUUUCUUUCGUCUUCUUUGUUUUCUCUUCUUUUUCUUGGUAAUUUUUGGGCAAAAUCUAAGAGCACAAGGAGAAUACAUUUGGAGGAGAAAUAUUUUGGAAAAAUCAAGAUCAAGUUAUCAUGAAUCCAAAUUCAAAAGCAUUUUAUCUUCAC
Molecule: long non-coding RNA, 2346 nt
Filed under: Olea europaea subsp. europaea
Lineage: Eukaryota; Viridiplantae; Streptophyta; Magnoliopsida; Lamiales; Oleaceae
Source: RNAcentral